RNAcentral lists this ribosomal RNA (468 nucleotides) under uncultured bacterium. RNAcentral describes it as "partial 16S ribosomal RNA". It matches the Rfam family "Bacterial small subunit ribosomal RNA", at positions 28 to 507 of the family's 1533-position model. The record is from RNAcentral.
GACGAACGCUGGCGGCGUGCUUAACACAUGCAAGUCGAACGGAAAGGCCCUGCUUUUGUGGGGUGCUCGAGUGGCGAACGGGUGAGUAACACGCGAGUAACCUGCCCUUGACUUUGGGAUAACUUCAGGAAACUGGGGCUAAUACCGGAUAGGAGCUCCUGCUGCAUGGGGGGGGUUGGAAAGUUUCGGCGGUUGGGGAUGGACUAGAGGCUUAUGCGCUUGAUUGUGGGGUAUGGGCUUACCAAGGCUUUGACGGGUAGCCGACCUGAGAGGGUUACCGGCCACAUUGGGCCUGAGAUACGGCCCAGACUCCUACGGGAGGCAGCAGUGGGGAAUAUUACGCAAUGGGCGGAAGCGUGAUGCAGCAGCGCCGCGUGCGGAAUGACGGCCUUCGGGUUGUAAACCGCUUUCGCCUGUGACGAAGCGUGAGUGACGGUAAUGGGUAAAGAAGCACCGGCUAACUACGUG